This 72-nucleotide transfer RNA is filed under the name Camelus bactrianus (Bactrian camel). It matches the Rfam family "tRNA". Rfam says of the family: Transfer RNA (tRNA) molecules are approximately 80 nucleotides in length. Their secondary structure includes four short double-helical elements and three loops (D, anti-codon, and T loops). Lineage: Eukaryota; Metazoa; Chordata; Mammalia; Artiodactyla; Camelidae. The record is from Rfam by way of RNAcentral. RNAcentral also lists the same sequence under 1 other name.
GGAGUUUUAGCUCAGUGGUAGGGCACCUGCUUAGCAUGCAGGAGGUCCUAGGUUCAAUCCCCAGUACCUCCA